RNAcentral lists this long non-coding RNA (1528 nucleotides) under Citrus x clementina. RNAcentral describes it as "Citrus clementina (C. clementina) long non-coding RNA (CCLE_LNC003336)". Lineage: Eukaryota; Viridiplantae; Streptophyta; Magnoliopsida; Sapindales; Rutaceae. The record is from RNAcentral.
AUUUCGCCCAAAGUACUAUAAAUUCGUAGGUCCACUCCUGAAUGUUAAUAUAAUUUAUGAGUGAUUGAAUUUGUGUUAAUUUGUUUAGUCUUAGCGUUUUCAUGUCCUAAGCUAGUAAUUUUAAAAGGAAAUUAAACCUAAAAAGCAAAAACGUCCGAUCAUAAACAAGAAAGGACAUGAAGUAAAGUGAUUAUAUAUUAUUCUUCCUAUUAUAAUUAAUAAGUGGGAAUGGUGGGUUGAUUUUUUUUUUCUUUUCGUGUUUGGCUUUAUCUCUUUAUUUUGAUCAUCGAAUGGGUUGAUUAUAUUUAGAUGAAGUGAUAAUUUAUUUUAAUUCACGUGGGUGCUCAAAGAUUACAUUGAUGUUGUUGCAGCUGAAAACAAGAAAAAAAACCCAAGAGAAAUUCAUGCGCAAUACCCAUGGAAGUGGGGACACCCAGAGAGCUUGACACGUUGAAUUGUGAUGAAUAAAGAGAUGAAUGGCCAUGAGCAUUAAGCAUGGAAUCACAUCAAUAUACCAUAGUGCAAUGGAGAGACAAGGAUAUGAUAGUCUAAUCUUCUUAACUGGAAAAAAAAAAGAUAUUGACUCCUAUCUCUUUCAAUCAUUUCUGCUUUUUCUUGCUCUUCUCUAGAUUAAUAUUGUAGUAAGUUUUAAGCAAUUAUUUUUUUUUAAUUUUUCCUUUUUUGUUUCACUUUCAUUGUGGUAAUGACAUUUUAUAGUUUGAUAUAAUUAUUAGAAACUUGCAUGAAUUAGUUGUAUGAUGUGCAAUCCAAGAAUUUAUGUCCAAAUUAAGAGGCCAAAUAUAUCCCUUAAACAUCAUUUUGAGACUAGAAAUAAAAGACCACAAAAGAAGUAGGUGAUAUUCAAAUCAAAAUGAGCCGGUUAAGCAAUUGAUCUUAAGUUGGUAAAUAUACUUAAAAUCGAUAUGGUUAAAUCAAAUUGACAUGAUCACAAAACAAUUGAGAUGUCAAAAUUAAGAGGACAAAUACAACUCUUAAAAUUUGAGAGAAUUCAAGCCCUUCAACAUCAUUUUGAGACAAGAAAUAAAAGACCACAAAAUAAGGAGGUGAUAUUCAAAUCAACAAUCCUUGUUUAGUGUAAGCGCCCUCAUUUAUUUUUUAUACGGAUACAUUAUUAAACUAUGUGAUUUAAUAGAGUUAAUUUUUAAUUCACUAAUAAACCAUACGGUUUAAUAAAGUUAUUUUAAUUAACAAGAUCUAGAAUGAUUUAACAGGCACUUGAGAAUGAUUGUUCAAAUCAAAAUAAGUUAGUCAAGUAAGUGAUCAUAGGUUGGGUAAAUAUAUUUUUGGAUUGGAGUGGGAAUCCUGAGGAGUGGAAAUCUUUGGAUUAAGAGUGUGGAGUGGGAGUGAGAGUAGGGUGUUUACUUAGACUAAAUGAAAGUAUAGAUUGUCAAUCAGAAUCCUAAUUAUUUGUUUACUUUGUCUUGGAUUGGGAGUAAAUUGUUUUAAAUUAUAAUUUUAUCCUUAUGUACAGAAUUAUAAUUUGUAAUUAAAAAAUUAAUAAAAAAAU